RNAcentral lists this ribosomal RNA (253 nucleotides) under uncultured bacterium. RNAcentral's name for it is "partial 16S ribosomal RNA". It matches the Rfam family "Bacterial small subunit ribosomal RNA", at positions 524 to 776 of the family's 1533-position model. The record is from RNAcentral.
UACAGAGGGUGCGAGCGUUAAUCGGAAUUACUGGGCGUAAAGCGUGCGUAGACGGUUAUGUAAGUCAGGUGUGAAAGCCCCGGGCUCAACCUGGGAAUUGCAUUUGAGACUGCAUAGCUAGGGUGCGGAAGAGGGAAGCGGAAUUUCCGGUGUAGCGGUGAAAUGCGUAGAUAUCGGAAGGAACACCAGUGGCGAAAGCGGCUUCCUGGUCCAGCACCGACGUUCAGGCGCGAAAGCGUGGGGAGCAAACAGG